GUCGCCGCCUCCUCUCCCCGCUUCCACCGCACGCCGCCACCUCUCCCCCUUCCACCGCGCGCCGCCUCCUCCCCCCGCUUCCACCGCGCGCCACCACCUCUGCCCCUUCCACGCUCCUCCCCAUCCACCGGGCGCCGCCACCUCCUCCUUCGCCAAAUCCGCCGCGCGCCGCCACCUCGCUCCCCAUCCACCGCGCCCCACUUCCCCCUCUGCCUCGGUGAAAUCCUCCCACCUCCUCCACACCUUCCUCCAAGUCGGCGGCGGCGGCGAGUUCAAAGUUCGAAGCUGCAAGCGCGGUGGUUCCCUGAGCCAGAGAAUUGCGCCUCCGCGUCCGGCCGCCGCCUCGUCCGCGACCGCCCCCGCCUCCGCGACCGACUGCCGCCACUCGUCUGCGCCUCUCCUCGCCUCCGCCUCCGUGCGCGGCCGCCGCCGCCUCCACAUCCGACGCCGCCUCGUCCGCAACCGCCUCCGCCUCCGCGGCCGACUGUCGCCGCUCGUCCGCGCCUCUCCUCGCCUCCGCCUCCGUGCGCGGCUGCCGCCUCGUCCGCGACCGCCGCCACCUCCGCGUCAAGCCGCCGCCUCGUCCUCAACCGCCUCCGCCUCCGCCUCUGCGACCGACCGCCGCCGCUCGUCCAGGCCUCGCCUCGCCUCCGCGACCGCCUCCGCCUCCGUGCGCAGCCGCCGCCUCGUCCGCGACCGCCGCCGCGCGCGCCUCCGCGUCCGGCCGCCACCUCGUCUGCAACCUCCUCCACCUCCGUGAACGACCGCCGCCGCUCGUCUGCGAGCUAGCCGCUGGGAG
RNAcentral lists this long non-coding RNA (799 nucleotides) under Oryza sativa aus subgroup. RNAcentral describes it as "lncRNA OsN22_03G015120". Lineage: Eukaryota; Viridiplantae; Streptophyta; Magnoliopsida; Poales; Poaceae. The record is from RNAcentral.